RNAcentral lists this ribosomal RNA (447 nucleotides) under uncultured bacterium. Its description in RNAcentral is "partial 16S ribosomal RNA". It matches the Rfam family "Bacterial small subunit ribosomal RNA", at positions 29 to 523 of the family's 1533-position model. The record is from RNAcentral.
AGCGAACGCUGGCGGCAGGCUUAACACAUGCAAGUCGAACGCCCCGCAAGGGGAGUGGCAGACGGGUGAGUGACACGUGGGAACGUACCCUUUGGUUCGGAAUAACUUGGGGAAACUCAAGCUAAUACCGGAUAAGCCCUUAUGGGGAAAGGUUUACUGCCGAAGGAUCGGCCCGCGUCUGAUUAGCUAGUUAGUGAGGUAAUGGCUCACCAAGGCGACGAUCAGUAGCUGGUCUGAGAGGAUGAUCAGCCACACUGGGACUGAGACACGGCCCAGACUCCUACGGGAGGCAGCAGUGGGGAAUAUUGGACAAUGGGGGCAACCCUGAUCCAGCCAUGCCGCGUGAGUGAUGAAGGCCUUAGGGUUGUAAAGCUCUUUUACCCGGGACGAUAAUGACUGUACCGGGAGAAUAAGCCCCGGCUAACUUCGUGCCAGCCGCCGCGGUAA